Molecule: ribosomal RNA, 378 nt
Filed under: uncultured eukaryote
Lineage: Eukaryota
Description: partial 18S ribosomal RNA
Rfam family: Eukaryotic small subunit ribosomal RNA
Source: RNAcentral
CAAUAGCGUAUAUUAAAGUUGUUGCAGUUAAAAAGCUCGUAGUUGGAUUUCGGAUGGGAUUUGCCGGUCCGUCGUUACGAUGUGCACUGGCCAGUCCUAUCUUGUUGUCGGGGACUAGCUCCUUGGAUUCACUUCCUGGGACUAGGAGCUGACGAGGUUACUUUGAGUAAAUUAGAGUGUUCAAAGCAAGCCUACGCUCUGAAUACAUUAGCAUGGAAUAACACGAUAGGACUCUGGCUUAUCUUGUUGGUCUGUGAGACCAGAGUAAUGAUUAAGAGGGACAGUCGGGGACAUUCGUAUUUCAUUGUCAGAGGUGAAAUUCUUGGAUUUAUGAAAGACGAACUUCUGCGAAAGCAUUUGUCAAGGAUGUUUUCAUUA